CCCGCCACCAUGCAAGUCUGUAAAAGUGACUGUGUAUGAUCCAGUGGUGGCUGAUAAUGACCCAGCUCUAGGAAGCAGUGCUAUCCAACUUGAUGGGCAACUCUGUGCUGAAAGGCCUGGAACAAGU
Small nucleolar RNA from Xyrauchen texanus (razorback sucker), 127 nucleotides. RefSeq annotates it as small nucleolar RNA SNORA65. The record is from RefSeq and is a predicted model, not a curated record. Lineage: Eukaryota; Metazoa; Chordata; Actinopteri; Cypriniformes; Catostomidae. The transcript has a single exon.